GGCCACGUAAUUGUCGGCAUAGUAAAUCCAUCGGAUACGGACUGCCUAACUCCCCCAGCAAAUAGAGAGGAGCAAUUCAAGAUGGAGUCUCGCUCUAUCAGUCAGACUGGAGUGCAGUAGCACGAUCUCAGCUCACAGCAACCUCUGCUUCUCGGGUUCAUGAGAUUCUCCCAAGUAGCUGGGAUUACAGUAAGAAGAUGGGAGCAACAGAUAAUCACUUUCCCAGAUCACCCAACAGUUGGAAAGAAAGCACAUGACCUGGGUUCAGCCAGUCAGAUGCAUCUAAGUGGGACUUUGAAUCUGAAGCUAGUGUUGGAAAGAAGCAAGCCAAGUGGACAGUUCUUUCUGACAAUGGCUGCCGUGGCUGCCCUGUCUGUUAUCUAGGGGCAAAGGCCAAGAGAGUAUUCAGGACCAGUGGUGCAAGCCACAGCACCAGCAUCCUGCAGAGGAGAUAGGUCUUUCCUGACUGGCAUGAUUAUGGCUGCUGUGCUGAAUGACUAGCAACCCUUCCUUUCUGCCCAUUUUCUAGACCUGAUUCUUCAGCCUUCUUAGAAAUUCUGAGAUGCC
Molecule: long non-coding RNA, 567 nt
Organism: Symphalangus syndactylus (siamang)
Lineage: Eukaryota; Metazoa; Chordata; Mammalia; Primates; Hylobatidae
Source: RefSeq, a predicted model, not a curated record